GCAGAUGUGGCCGAGUGGUUAAGGCGACUGACUCGAAAUCAGUUUCCAUCUUGGAGCGUAGGUUCGAAUCCUACCAUCUGCG
Molecule: transfer RNA, 82 nt
Organism: Daphnia magna
Lineage: Eukaryota; Metazoa; Arthropoda; Branchiopoda; Diplostraca; Daphniidae
Rfam family: tRNA
About the family: Transfer RNA (tRNA) molecules are approximately 80 nucleotides in length.
Source: Rfam